UACGUAGGGGGCGAGCGUUGUCCGGAUUUAUUGGGCGUAAAGAGCUCGUAGGCGGUUUGGUAAGUCGGGUGUGAAAUCUCCACGCUCAACGUGGAGGGGCCACUCGAUACUGCCAUGACUCGAGUCCGGUAGAGGAGUGUGGAAUUCCCGGUGUAGCGGUGAAAUGCGCAGAUAUCGGGAGGAACACCCGUAGCGAAGGCGGCACUCUGGGCCGGAACUGACGCUGAGGAGCGAAAGCAUGGGGAGCGAACAGG
Molecule: ribosomal RNA, 254 nt
Filed under: uncultured bacterium
Lineage: Bacteria
Description: partial 16S ribosomal RNA
Rfam family: Bacterial small subunit ribosomal RNA
Source: RNAcentral